AAUGUGUGCUUUGUGAUGUCAAGGACUUCCGUGCUCAAUGCUGUCUCUCCGGCACCUGGAAAAAUGCGUGUACUGUAGCCACACUCAAUAUUUGUUGACUGAAUGAAUCCAUGAAGGGGUAUUUAAAUUAAUUUCUAUUUCUUGGCAGUUAAAGGGAUUGGAGCCACAGAACGUGUGAUAUCAUCAGAAGAAAACUCAGAACAUGGAGCAUGACUCGGAACAGGGGAGCCAUCGUGGGAGGUUCCUUGCCCGACGAUCACACAGUGGAUUGAGAAAGAAAAGAGGAGAAGUGACAGGAAAGAAGAGGCCCCAAAGGAGAUGCUGGGAGGAACUCAGUGGAUAAGCUCUCCAUUUGGCAAGUUUGCCGUGUGCUGCCCUUCUGUGUAAACCCAGCCAGGGAAAGCACCCCCAAAAGCCAGCUGCCAGGGGAGCCUGAGAAAACAGAGGCUGGAGAUAAGAGAAGACUUGGGGCCUUUUACAGCAAGUGCAAACUUUCACACCUGUCAGCAAUAAAUCAAGAGGUUUAUGGGGCUGCAAUAUUUACACUCUAAUUAAAAAAUCAUAAAGCAAGCACCCUUUCAGGUUGUGGAAAACAAAACUACAAAACUUCUACAGCAGCGGCGGUUAAUCAGUGACUCUUAAUGAUCUGCUGCCCAGUACCAACAUGGGGCAUUUAUUCAGCCGCAAACAGCAAACAAGACAGCAGGAGAAGGUGGGACUGGCACCAGAGAUCAGCCUUCGCAGGUGGCCAUGACUUGUGUUUCUGAACCUGUCCAGAGCCGGAGAUGACUGCAGAGAUCUCCUCUGGAGCACUCAGUCUUGAUUUCCAGCCUGACUCCACCAUCUACUGGCCGUGCAACUUUGGACUGGGUUUUUUAAACCUAAUUCCAGACAUCCUGAAAAACUUCAUUUCCUGCUACUCCUCCACGCAUUAGGCAAAAGUUACACAGGAUUCCUCAAAUACUGCAGCAGAUGCUGCCCCAGUACUGGUGAAUGCUGGCAAAUGGCAAAGAAAGAAAGAAGGAAUCUGAAACCCUGCUGACCUCAUGGAGCAGAGCUGUCUACUGGCUCCAGACUGCCCGCCUACAACUGGACAGAGAAAUAAAUACACUGCUGUCUUGUUUGAAUCACUCUAUAUUUCAGCCUCUUUAUUACAACAGCUUAGCUUUAUACCCUAAUAUAUACCUUCCUCUUUCCGGUCUCCAUAUCUUUGUUUCUGCCAUUCUUUCUUCAGGAAAUGUCCUUAACUAUCUAGUGACCAUCUACUUACAUUUGUAGGUCCAGAUCAGGCGAUUCUCCCUCGACUCUGCCAUGUGAGUGCAGAAUUUUUCACAGCUUUGUCUGUGCUCUUAUUAAGUUCUUAUCACAGUGGAUUGUGCAGAGCGUGCUGUGUAAUGUCUUUGCGGUUAGGCUGUUGGGUUUCUCAAGAUGAAGGGAGAUGUCCUUCUAUACCAGAACCUGGGCCCUCCAUAAAUAUUUGUUGGAAGAAUA
This 1491-nucleotide long non-coding RNA is filed under the name Equus caballus (horse). RNAcentral describes it as "lncRNA (ENSECAG00000057396.1)". Lineage: Eukaryota; Metazoa; Chordata; Mammalia; Perissodactyla; Equidae. The record is from RNAcentral.